CGAAGAUUCACGAAGAAGUAUUGCGCUAGUUACUAGUUAUGAGACAACGUAUAGAGUCUGACAUCUGCCCAGUACUGGAAGGUCGGAAAGAGAAGUGUUAUAAGCUUUGAAUGGAAGCCCCGGUAAACGGCGGCAGUAACUCUAACUGUCCUAAGGCGGCCUGCACGAAUGAUGUAACGA
RNAcentral lists this non-coding RNA (180 nucleotides) under Capsicum annuum. RNAcentral describes it as "Bacterial large subunit ribosomal RNA". It matches the Rfam family "Bacterial large subunit ribosomal RNA", at positions 1797 to 2007 of the family's 2925-position model. The record is from Rfam by way of RNAcentral. Lineage: Eukaryota; Viridiplantae; Streptophyta; Magnoliopsida; Solanales; Solanaceae.